GACGAACGCUGGCGGCGUGCUUAACACAUGCAAGUCGAACGAUGAACCCGGAGCUUGCUCCGGUGGAUUAGUGGCGAACGGGUGAGUAACACGUGAGUAACCUGCCCUUGACUCUGGGAUAACUGCGGGAAACUGUAGCUAAUACCGGAUACGACCCUCGGCGGCAUCGCCAGGGGGUGGAAAGAAUUUCGGUCAAGGAUGGACUCACGGCCUAUCAGCAAGUUGGUGAGGUAACGGCUCACCAAGGCGACGACGGGUAGCCGGCCUGAGGGGGGGACCGGCACAACUGGGACUGAGCCACGGCCCAGACUCCUACGGGAGGCAGCAGUGGGGAAUAUUGCGCAAUGGGCGAAAGCCUGACGCAGCGACGCCGCGUGAGGGAUGAAGGUCUUCGGAUCGUAAACCUCUUUCAGUAGGGACGAAGCGAAAGUGACGGUACCUAAAGAAGAAGCACCGGCUAACUACGUGCCAGCCGCCGCAGUAA
RNAcentral lists this ribosomal RNA (484 nucleotides) under uncultured bacterium. Its description in RNAcentral is "partial 16S ribosomal RNA". It matches the Rfam family "Bacterial small subunit ribosomal RNA", at positions 28 to 523 of the family's 1533-position model. The record is from RNAcentral.